UCUCCGUUGGUGGACCAGCGGAGGGAUCAUUACCGAGUUUACAACUCCCAAACCCCAUGUGAACCUUACCAAACGUUGCUUCGGCGGGAUGCCCCGGGCGCGGGCCGCAAGGCCUCAGCCCCGGAACCAGGCGCCCGCCGGAGGCCCAAACCAAACUCUUGUUUUUGUAGAAUCUUCUGAGUGGCCUUUUAGGCAAAAAAUGAAUCAAAACUUUCAACAACGGAUCUCUUGGUUCUG
This 237-nucleotide unclassified non-coding RNA is filed under the name plant metagenome. Its description in RNAcentral is "partial contains small subunit ribosomal RNA, internal transcribed spacer 1, and 5.8S ribosomal RNA". The record is from RNAcentral.